This 212-nucleotide unclassified non-coding RNA is filed under the name rhizosphere metagenome. Its description in RNAcentral is "partial ribosomal RNA internal transcribed spacer region". The record is from RNAcentral.
GUAGGUGAACCUGCGGAAGGAUCAUUAUUUAAUAAUAGUAUAUAACAUGGGGUGUUAGAUAGGCUUUACGGCUUGUCCCUUCGUGUUUAUAUAUAUAUUUAUGUGCAUUUGUACUAUCCAAUUUUUACAAACCUUCUGGUAUAUUAUGAGCUCAAUGAGCCCAAAUUAUUUUUAAUCUAAAAUAACUUUUAACAACGGAUCUCUUGGCUCUC